RNAcentral lists this long non-coding RNA (203 nucleotides) under Sus scrofa (pig). RNAcentral's name for it is "lncRNA (ENSSSCG00040076112.1)". Lineage: Eukaryota; Metazoa; Chordata; Mammalia; Artiodactyla; Suidae. The record is from RNAcentral.
CUUCACGAUGGAAUGGCUGCACCCACACUGUCUGUGGUACAGAGCAGAAGCCCAUGGACACACACCAGCUAAUCCUGCCAAUGUCAUCUCCUGACCCGUCUAAGGAGGAGAUGGAGGGAAGUUCUGAGUUUGUCGAGCUGAGACGUGAUUCAGCGUAAGUGCUUCCAUCAUGGUCCCCGAGCAUCCCUGCUCUGACGUUGAAG